RNAcentral lists this long non-coding RNA (349 nucleotides) under Cyanistes caeruleus (blue tit). RNAcentral describes it as "lncRNA (ENSCCEG00000008582.1)". The record is from RNAcentral. Lineage: Eukaryota; Metazoa; Chordata; Aves; Passeriformes; Paridae.
AACAUUCGUCUGUCAUCUACUCCAUCACUGAGCCUUAUCCCCAGCCCAAGGGUAUACUGAUGACAUGAGCAGCAUUUAUGACAGAAUAACUACACUAACAAUUUAAUCAUGUUCUCUACUAAUAAAGAUAGAAGGCAUUACUCCAGCUAUUUGUCAUGAGGAGAGUAACACAAUCCCUUGUGACCAAGCCCAUAUCAUCCAAGAUUUUAUAGGCUGAGACCAACACCUUGGUUGCUAACUGGAAGAUGUAACAAAAUAAUGUACUGAGAAGCAGGGAGGAAAAAUCAAUCCAAGGUAAGAAGCAAGCAUGAAACACUGUAGCCCAAGUGGAUAAAAUGAGAUAUAAGCA